UACGUAGGUGACAAGCGUUGUCCGGAUUUACUGGGCGUAAAGAGCGCGCAGGCGGUCGUUCAAGUCGAGUGUGAAAGCCCCCGGCUCAACUGGGGAGGGUCAUUCGAUACUGAUCGACUCGAAGGCAGGAGAGGGUAGUGGAAUUCCCGGUGUAGUGGUGAAAUGCGUAGAUAUCGGGAGGAACACCGGUGGCGAAGGCGGGUCUCUGGGCAGUAACUGACGCUGAGAAGCGAAAGCGUGGGGAGCGAACAGG
Molecule: ribosomal RNA, 253 nt
Filed under: uncultured bacterium
Lineage: Bacteria
Description: partial 16S ribosomal RNA
Rfam family: Bacterial small subunit ribosomal RNA
Source: RNAcentral